Molecule: ribosomal RNA, 511 nt
Filed under: uncultured bacterium
Lineage: Bacteria
Description: bacterial SSU rRNA
Rfam family: Bacterial small subunit ribosomal RNA
Source: RNAcentral
GAUGAACGCUAGCGGCAGGCCUAAUACAUGCAAGACGAACGGUAAGUUUGAUAGCAAUAUUGAACCUAGAGUGUCGUAAGGGUGCGUAACACGUAUGCAAUCUACCCUCAACAGGAGGAUAGCUCCCCGAAAGGGGAAUUAACACUCCAUAAGAUCACAGGAUGGCAUCAUUCAGUGAUUAAAACUCCGGUGGUUGAGGAUGAGCAUGCGCAUGAUUAGUUAGUUGGCGGGGUAAUGGCCCACCAAGACGAUGAUCAUUAGGGGAACUGAGAGGUUGAUCCCCCACACUGGCACUGAGAUACGGGCCAGACUCCUACGGGAGGCAGCAGUAGGGAAUAUUGGACAAUGGGUGCGAGCCUGAUCCAGCCAUGCCGCGUGCAGGAAACGGCCGUUCCUGGGGUUGUAAACUGCUUUUCGGACGGAACGAAACCGGUCUUUCGUAAGGUAAGAAGGCCCGAGGUAGACGGUACCGUAAGGAAUUAACGACGACCGGCCUAACGUACGUGCCCGA